RNAcentral lists this ribosomal RNA (383 nucleotides) under uncultured Acholeplasma sp. RNAcentral describes it as "bacterial SSU rRNA". It matches the Rfam family "Bacterial small subunit ribosomal RNA", at positions 991 to 1381 of the family's 1533-position model. Lineage: Bacteria; Bacillati; Mycoplasmatota; Mollicutes; Acholeplasmatales; Acholeplasmataceae. The record is from RNAcentral.
UUGCAAAGCUAUGGAGACAUAGUGAGGUUAGUCAAGGAGACAGGUGGUGCAUGGUUGUCGUCAGCUCGUGUCGUGAGAUGUUGGGUUAAGUCCCGCAACGAGCGCAACCCUUAUUGCUAGUUACCAUCAUUAAUUGGGGACUCUAGCGAGACUGCCAGUGAUAAACUGGAGAAGGUGGGGAUGACGUCAAAUCAUCAUGCCCCUUAUGACCUGGGCUACAAACGUGAUACAAUGGCUGAAACAAAGGGCAGCGAAGCAGUGAUGUGGAGCGAAACCCAAAAAAGCAGUCUCAGUUCGGAUUGAAGUCUGCAACUCGACUUCAUGAAGUUGGAAUCGCUAGUAAUCGUAGAUCAGAACGCUACGGUGAAUACGUUCUCGGGUUU